Molecule: ribosomal RNA, 260 nt
Filed under: uncultured bacterium
Lineage: Bacteria
Description: partial 16S ribosomal RNA
Rfam family: Bacterial small subunit ribosomal RNA
Source: RNAcentral
UACGUAGGGUGCAAGCGUUGUCCGGAAUUAUUGGGCGUAAAGAGCUCGUAGGCGGUUUUGUUGCGUCGGCUGUGAAAUCCCCGAGGCUCAACCUCGGGGUCUGCAGUCGAUACGAGCAAAACUAGAGUGUUGCAGGGGGAGACUGGAAUUCCCUGGUGUAGCGGUGAAAUGCGCAGAUAUCAGGAGGAACACCGGUGGCGAAGGCGGGGUCUCUGGGCAACAACUGACGCUGAGGAGCGAAAGCGUGGGGAGCGAACAGG